Molecule: small RNA, 33 nt
Filed under: Pongo abelii (Sumatran orangutan)
Lineage: Eukaryota; Metazoa; Chordata; Mammalia; Primates; Hominidae
Source: RNAcentral
UUCAACUAUCUGAGCCAUGAAUUCUAGUCCUCC